RNAcentral lists this ribosomal RNA (494 nucleotides) under uncultured bacterium. RNAcentral's name for it is "bacterial SSU rRNA". It matches the Rfam family "Bacterial small subunit ribosomal RNA", at positions 28 to 530 of the family's 1533-position model. The record is from RNAcentral.
GAUGAACGCUGGCGGCGUGCCUAACACAUGCAAGUCGAGCGGAAAUUCAAGAAGUAGUAAUACGGAUUGGAUUUUAGCGGCGGACGGGUGAGUAACACGUGAGUAACCUGCCUUUAGCAGAGGAAUAACAUUGGGAAACCAGUGCUAAUACCUCAUAACAUCACCGGAUGGCAUCAUCUGGCGAUCAAAGGAGAAAUCCGGCUAAAGAUGGACUCGCGUCCGAUUAGCUAGUUGGUGAGGUAAAGGCCCACCAAGGCGACGAUCGGUAGCCGAACUGAGAGGUUGAUCGGCCACAUUGGGACUGAGACACGGCCCAGACUCCUACGGGAGGCAGCAGUGGGGAAUAUUGGGCAAUGGGCGAAAGCCUGACCCAGCAACGCCGCGUGAAGGAUGAAGGCCUCGGUGUAACUUCUUGAUCAGGACGAAAAAUAGAACGGUACCUGAAGAACAAGCCACGGCUAACUAACGUGCCAGCAGCCGCGGUAAUACGUCUA